RNAcentral lists this long non-coding RNA (704 nucleotides) under Fukomys damarensis (Damara mole-rat). RNAcentral's name for it is "lncRNA (ENSFDAG00000025816.1)". The record is from RNAcentral. Lineage: Eukaryota; Metazoa; Chordata; Mammalia; Rodentia; Bathyergidae.
AUCACAGAUGUUCACCAUUAUGUCGAAAAGACUUUGUUCUGCCAGGGCUUUGUUUCUGGGUUCUGAAUCAGAACUUAGUGGUAUUCCAAAUAUUUAUUCAGUCUCACCAUUUCCUCCCAAUUACUAGAUAUGAAACAGAAUUAUACAUGUCAUUCUUGGCUCUUUGCAUCUUUGUAUAGAUUCUCAAAAAGGAGCUCUGAGUCCUGCCCUCUAGACCUUGUCUUUCAGGGUGGUCAGCAAUGGCCAGGUGUGUCUGAAUAAUGGGCAUGGUGGGAGUAGUUAAAUUGGAGCGUUCAUGGACUGGAAACACAUUCUGCGCCACUGGCUGGGUGUAAUGCAAGGAAGGGACAAAGAUGAAAUGGAAACAUCUUCCUUUUUUGGUCAUAAUAUCACUCCUCAGAGUGUCGAAGCAUCACCUGUUUCUGGCCCAGCUUAUUCCAGGCAAUGCGGAGUACUGGCGAACAUUCAGAAAGCCUGAGGAUUGAAUUCAUCGGCGGAGGACAGUCAUCAUUGUUUAACAGUGCAGAAAGCCUUGCUGACUUUAAUAAUACAUGAGGACUGGUUCGAGCUUUUUUCUCACCUCUACUGUUGACUUUAUGCGUGCUGCCAUGAGCCAUGAAGUCUCCUCUUCAGGCUGUUUUCAGAAGGGGAAAUCAGAAAACAAGAGGUGGAAAAUUUCACUUUUGGUACAGUGACUCUCAUCU